This 881-nucleotide long non-coding RNA is filed under the name Rattus norvegicus (Norway rat). RNAcentral's name for it is "long non-coding RNA NONRATT003950". Lineage: Eukaryota; Metazoa; Chordata; Mammalia; Rodentia; Muridae. The record is from RNAcentral.
GACAGACAGACAGACAGACAGACAGACAGACAGACAGUAAAAGCGACUCACAAACACUCUGCCUUCUCUGGCUGUGGUCUUACUGCAGUUAAGCACUUCUGCUGUGAUUUUCUGGAUUCAGAAAGAGUUGAUGUCCUCAGAGAGCUGAAAAUCCAGAGCCUUGCAGCUUUCCUAAUUAUCUGUCUUUUCUCCCUUCUCCAUCACCCAGGGGACACGAAACACUGCUCAUCACACAGCCUGCUUGAAAAGAGUUUCCUGUCUUGUGCACAUUAUCCCUUGAUAUUGAAAUUAUUUUCUCUGUUUAAUCCGGCUCCUGCUGAGAAGCUGUGUGGGAUUUAGGGUGCAGGGUUUUCUCUUGUACUUUCCAGAGGGGUUGCACUUAACCUGAGGGUAGGUCUCAGCCGCUGCUGUUCUGUUUCAUGCAGAAGACAGCUUCUGAUCCAGGGAAUAUUUUCAGAAUUCUGACCCGAUCAAGGGUCCCAACGCCGGACUCCUCAGAGCCAGGGUGAGAAGGGCAGGCUUGGUUAAGAAGUCUCAGGUUAGGAGAGGGUCACAUUCUUUGGGCAUCUGUGUUACCUUGUGUUUCCAGGGUUUUCCACACAGAGAAAGGAAGGGGUACUAAGUGUCAGCUCUCCUGAAGAUGACUGUACGUCUCCCCAGGUUGCCCACACCUCUUCACACUGCUGUUUGGACCUCCCUUCAUGCCUCAGAGGACCACCUGAGCAUAGAAGGACAUGGCUUUCCAUCUGAACUUUGACAGAGGUUCUGUGAUGUUCGAAUAUUCUGUCUGCCUCUUGCUCAAACCCAACAGUGUAUGUGGUCCCUUUGGCCCCCUCCACCCCAGAAUAUUCCUAAUAAACAUUCUUUUCUUUUAUAUAAAA